GUGGCGAAGGCGGCUGUCUAGUCUGUAACUGACGCUGAGGCUCGAAAGCAUGGGUAGCGAACAGGAUUAGAUACCCUGGGUAGUCCAUGCCGUAAACGAUGAGUGCUAGGUGUUGGAGGGUUUCCGCCCUUCAGUGCCGCAGCUAACGCAUUAAGCAUUCCGCCUGGGGAGUACGGCCGCAAGGUUGAAACUCAAAGGAAUUGACGGGGGCCCGCACAAGCGGUGGAGCAUGUGGUUUAAUUCGAAGCUACGCGAAGAACCUUACCAGGUCUUGACAUACUAUGCAAAUCUUAGAGAUAAGACGUUCCCUUCGGGGACAUGGAUACAGGUGGUGCAUGGUUGUCGUCAGCUCGUGUCGUGAGAUGUUGGGUUAAGUCCCGCAACGAGCGCAACCCUUAUUAUCAGUUGCCAGCAUUAAGUUGGGCACUCUGGUGAGACUGCCGGUGACAAACCGGAGGAAGGUGGGGAUGACGUCAAAUCAUCAUGCCCCUUAUGACCUGGGCUACACACGUGCUACAAUGGACGGUACAACGAGUCGCGAAGUCGUGAGGCUAAGCUAAUCUCUUAAAGCCGUUCUCAGUUCGGAUUGUAGGCUGCAACUCGCCUACAUGAAGUUGGAAUCGCUAGUAAUCGCGGAUCAGCAUGCCGCGGUGAACACGUUCCCGGGCCUUGUACACACCGCCCGUCACACCAUGAGAGUUUGUAACACCCAAAGCCGGUGAGAUAACCUUCGGG
RNAcentral lists this ribosomal RNA (735 nucleotides) under uncultured Lactobacillus sp. RNAcentral's name for it is "bacterial SSU rRNA". It matches the Rfam family "Bacterial small subunit ribosomal RNA", at positions 712 to 1446 of the family's 1533-position model. Lineage: Bacteria; Bacillati; Bacillota; Bacilli; Lactobacillales; Lactobacillaceae. The record is from RNAcentral.